Molecule: ribosomal RNA, 644 nt
Filed under: uncultured Oceanospirillales bacterium
Lineage: Bacteria; Pseudomonadati; Pseudomonadota; Gammaproteobacteria; Oceanospirillales
Description: bacterial SSU rRNA
Rfam family: Bacterial small subunit ribosomal RNA
Source: RNAcentral
UGCAGUCGAGCGGUAACAGGAGUAGCUUGCUACUCGCUGACGAGCGGCGGACGGGUGAGUAACGCGUAGGAAUCUGCCUAAUAGUUGGGGAUAGCCCGGGGAAACCCGGAUUAAUACCGAAUACGCUCUACGGAGGAAAGCAGGGGAUCUUCGGACCUUGCGCUAUUAGAUGAGCCUGCGUGAGAUUAGCUAGUUGGUGAGGUAAUGGCUCACCAAGGCGACGAUCUCUAGCUGGUCUGAGAGGAUGAUCAGCCACACUGGGACUGAGACACGGCCCAGACUCCUACGGGAGGCAGCAGUGGGGAAUAUUGCACAAUGGGCGCAAGCCUGAUGCAGCCAUACCGCGUGUGUGAAGAAGGCCUUAGGGUUGUAAAGCACUUUCAGUAGUGAGGAAAGGGGUGUAGUUAAUACCUGCAUCCUGUGACGUUAGCUACAGAAGAAGCACCGGCUAAUUCCGUGCCAGCAGCCGCGGUAAUACAGAGGGUGCGAGCGUUAAUCGGAAUUACUGGGCGUAAAGCGCGCGUAGGUGGUUUGUUAAGUCGGAUGUGAAAGCCCAGGGCUCAACCUUGGAAUUGCACCCGAUACUGGCAAGCUAGAGUACGGUAGAGGGGUGUGGAAUUUCCUGUGUAGCGGUGAAAUGCGUA